Non-coding RNA from Penaeus vannamei (Pacific white shrimp), 377 nucleotides. Lineage: Eukaryota; Metazoa; Arthropoda; Malacostraca; Decapoda; Penaeidae. The record is from RefSeq and is a predicted model, not a curated record.
GGUGAUGGCCGGGAGAGGCAAAGGAGGGUAUAUAAUCUCUGAAAUGGCCCGGGCAUAGCAUUUCAGUGCCCCGAGAAGUUCAAGAUGCGGUUCCUUUUGUUCCUUCUCUUCCUGGCUCUCGCCUUUGCCUUCGCGGCCGCCAAGACCAUGCCCUGCUGCUACGGCGGGGGCUACGGCCACUUCGGCCACCACCACCACCACCACCACCACGGACACUGGGGCCAUCAUCACUGGGGCUGAUCUCGCGGAAGGCAGAGGAUCGACCCUAACGACAACGACAACGACAUCGGGACAACAAAAUGCUUCUCUUCUUCCUGUCUGUGGUUUUGGGUUGUUUUGUGGCACGCGACUCGUGUCAAUAAAGAGAAUAUCGCUGC